This 253-nucleotide ribosomal RNA is filed under the name uncultured Rickettsia sp. Its description in RNAcentral is "partial 16S ribosomal RNA". It matches the Rfam family "Bacterial small subunit ribosomal RNA", at positions 524 to 776 of the family's 1533-position model. The record is from RNAcentral. Lineage: Bacteria; Pseudomonadati; Pseudomonadota; Alphaproteobacteria; Rickettsiales; Rickettsiaceae.
UACGGAGGGGGCUAGCGUUGUUCGGAAUUACUGGGCGUAAAGAGCGCGUAGGCGGCUCGGCAAGUUGGAAGUGAAAGCCCGGGGCUUAACCUCGGAAUUGCUUUCAAAACUGCUGAGCUAGAGUAUGGUAGGGGAUGAUGGAAUUCCUAGUGUAGAGGUGAAAUUCUUAGAUAUUAGGAGGAACACCGGUGGCGAAGGCGGUCAUCUGGGCCAUUACUGACGCUGAGGCGCGAAAGCGUGGGGAGCAAACAGG